GGUUGUAGCUCAGUUGGUUAGAGUGCCGGCCUGUCACGCCGGAGGUCGCGGGUUCGAGCCCCGUCAACC
Molecule: transfer RNA, 69 nt
Filed under: Sulfitobacter mediterraneus
Lineage: Bacteria; Pseudomonadati; Pseudomonadota; Alphaproteobacteria; Rhodobacterales; Roseobacteraceae
Also listed under: 27 other names
Rfam family: tRNA
About the family: Transfer RNA (tRNA) molecules are approximately 80 nucleotides in length. Their secondary structure includes four short double-helical elements and three loops (D, anti-codon, and T loops).
Source: RNAcentral